GAUGAAGAACGCAGCGAAAUGCGAUAAGUAAUGUGAAUUGCAGAAUUCAGUGAAUCAUCGAAUCUUUGAACGCACAUUGAGCCCCCUGGUAUUCCGGGGGGCAUGCCUGUCCGAGCGUCAUUACAACCCUCAAGCUCAGCUUGGUGUUGGGCCCCGCCGCCCCGGCGGGCCCUAAAGUCAGUGGCGGUGCCGUCCGGCUCCGAGCGUAGUAAUUCUUCUCGCUCUGGAGGUCCGGUCGUGUGCUCGCCAGCAACCCCCAAUUUUUUUCAGGUUGACCUCGGAUCAGGUAGGGAUACCCGCUGAACUUAAGCAUAUCAAUAAGCGGAGGA
Molecule: unclassified non-coding RNA, 329 nt
Filed under: soil metagenome
Description: partial contains 5.8S ribosomal RNA, internal transcribed spacer 2, and large subunit ribosomal RNA
Rfam family: 5.8S ribosomal RNA (bases 1-120)
Source: RNAcentral